Molecule: long non-coding RNA, 1697 nt
Filed under: Equus caballus (horse)
Lineage: Eukaryota; Metazoa; Chordata; Mammalia; Perissodactyla; Equidae
Description: lncRNA (ENSECAG00000053504.1)
Source: RNAcentral
CCUUUGUCUCAGGGAUCUGCUUUUCCUGCUCUCCCAUGCCAUUACCAGCUGCCUCCUAACGCUCCCUAUGGUGGAAAGAGAAAUGGCUACCUCUGGGGGGUCGACGGGCUCACAUCUGGAGUAGGUUCCCUCCAGCCAAAAUAUUUAAAUCCUGAAUAAAGGCUUUCUUUUGGCCUGGAAGAAGGAAGAGAAUUUCUCUGAGGAUUUUCAGAGGGCCCCUGAGACUUCUCAAAGAGAUUUGCUCUCUCUUCCUAUAAGGAGGAAGACACUAAGCUGCCCUUUUUCCUGAAGCCUUGCAAGCUGAAACUCGAGGACUUGAUAUAAACUUCAGAGAUAUUCAUAGCUGUUGCUAUGCCUAACUAUGGGAGCCCACCUGCAUCACCGUCUUACUAAGAGACUGGUUCCAUGAGAUGGAACAACCUAUGACCCUCAUCAACAGGGUGUCCCUCAAGAUUGAGGGAUGAAAAACAAAAAGGAGGAAUUGAAACCAGCUCAACACAAGGUUGACAUAAGGGAAGCCAUAUUGUAGAAAAGAAACCAUGUUGUAACUUUGAAUGACCUCUGACUAACUAACCCAGCUGGAUUUGCACCCUCCAGGAGAUCCACCUGUUCUGUAUAUUUUUUUAAAGAUUUUAUUUUUCCUUUUUCUCCCCAAAGCUCCCUGGUACAUAGUUGUGGAUCCUUCCAGUUGUGGCAUGUGGGAUGCCACCUCAGCAUGGCCCAAUGAACAGUGCCAUGCCUGCACCCAGGACCUGAACUGGCAAAACCCUGGGCUGCCAAAGCAGAGUGCACAAACCCAACCACUUGGCCAUGGGGCCAGUGCCUGUUCUGUAGAUUUUGUGACCGCUGCCUGUGCAUAUACCUUCCAGCUGUGAUAAGACAAUAACUUCAUUCUUUUGAGUUCCUUAGGAAUGUGAUGAUCCCCAAAGAGAGAGUUUCUGCUGAUAGCCAUCAUCAAUGAAAACUGAAAGACCUGGUGUGGCCACUCCCAGUCUGUAACACCAGAGGGUCAACAUUCCUAAGCCCCUACCCUAUAACCCAUUGGCCCAUAUAACUGCUUCAGGAUUCUGUGCCCUGCUUAAGAUGGUUUUUUUGGACAUUAGUCAGCCAUCUUCCCUCUUGCUAGCAAACUGUAAUAAAAUACUCUUUCUCUGCCACCAGCUUGCCUCUUGACCUUUGGCUUUUGUCUCACAGCGAGCAGAUUGUGCCCUUUGUGCAGUGACAUUAGGUGCUCAGUGCCCUGACAUCACUGAGGUUUGUCUCAUGUCUAUGAGACAUGACUAUGUCUCUGUCUAUGGGGCCUCUCCCGGGCAGCAAGUCAAGCGCUGGCUCCUUCCAUUUCUAGAUGCUGCCAUCUUGAAACAGGGCCUUCACAGUGAACAUGGAAGGGAAAGAGAGAGGGUGGAAGGUUGAAUGGGGGCUUGUGCUCAGGCGUGGGGGGGCAGGCAUGACUCCUGUGCAUAUCCCAUGGUCCAGAACCAGUCCUGUGGUCCCAAUUCAUGGCCAGAGAGCCAGGGAAAUGUCAUCUUCCCAUGUGCCCAGGAGGAGAAGAUGGGAUGAGGGGGCAUGUGGUCUGAUUCUGCCACACUCGCCCUCUGAAAACCACAGUUUCCUUGUCUGUAAAAUGGGAUUUGCAUGGGACUUGGAUUACUGAGUCCCAGCUCUGAGUUAGGGGAGCUGCUUCAUGAAAAUCUGGU